GACGAACGCUGGCGGCGUGCUUAACACAUGCCAGUCGAACGGUGAAGCGCCUUCCUUUUUGGUGGGUGUGGAUGAGUGGCGAACGGGUGAGUAACACGUGAGUAACCUGCCCCCUUCUUCUGGAUAACCGCAUGAAAGUGUGGCUAAUACGGGAUAUUCUGGGUCUGUCGCAUGAUGGGUCUGGGAAAGAUAUUGUUUCGGUGGGGGAUGGGCUCGCGGCCUAUCAGCUUGUUGGUGGGGUGAUGGCCUACCAAGGCGGUGACGGGUAGCCGGCCUGAGAGGGUGGACGGUCACACUGGGACUGAGGCACGGCCCAGACUCCUACGGGAGGCAGCAGUGGGGAAUAUUGCACAAUGGGCGAAAGCCUGAUGCAGCGACGCCGCGUGAGGGAUGGAGGCCUUCGGGUUGUGAACCUCUUUCGCCAGUGAAGCAGGCCUGCCUCGUUUGUGGGUGGGUUGACGGUAGCUGGAUAAGAAGCGCCGGCUAACUACGUG
This 494-nucleotide ribosomal RNA is filed under the name uncultured bacterium. Its description in RNAcentral is "partial 16S ribosomal RNA". It matches the Rfam family "Bacterial small subunit ribosomal RNA", at positions 28 to 507 of the family's 1533-position model. The record is from RNAcentral.